Molecule: non-coding RNA, 994 nt
Organism: Malus domestica (apple)
Lineage: Eukaryota; Viridiplantae; Streptophyta; Magnoliopsida; Rosales; Rosaceae
Source: RefSeq, a predicted model, not a curated record
AAAAUUGCCCUCCUCCCUUCCUCACACUUUCAGAACACGCCUUUCGCACCCAAACCAGAAAAACUUCAAUCCCAGCGAUCUCUCUCGUUCUCCUAGCGAUCUCUCUCGUUCUCCUAGCGAUCUCUCUCGUUCUACAGGUUGCGUUCUUCGGCUUGGCGUCCUUCCUCUGGUUACAUGUGUAUAUUCAAUAUGAACACCUCUAAUGAUGAUGUUGAGGAUUUGGAGGAUGAUCUAAUUAUAUGCGCUGUAGCGAGAGUUGUUGAAACAUAUUAUUUAAAAUAUGUCCAUAAAACUCCGUGUAUGAAUUCUUUCCAAACAGGUAAUAUUUGGUUGAUAGAAGUACUACAAGGAAAUGAUGUGUAAAGCUAUAGAAUGUUUACGAUGAACAAAGAUGUCUUUUAUAGAUUAUCCAAUGACUUGCAAACUAAUUAUGGAUUGAAAGGUUCAAGGAGAAUGUAUGCAACUGAAAUAUUAGGAAUGUUCUUGCAUAUGUUAGGACAUGGUGUGAAAAAUAUAUUAGCGCAAAAGAGAUUUCAACAUUCUAGUGAGACUGUUAGUAGAUAUUUUGGUGCUAUGUUAGAUAUCGUAUAUAAGAUGGCAAUAGAUAUUAUCAAACCGAUGGAUUCGGAAUUUCGUGGCAUUCCCCAAGAAAUAAGGAGAGAUGCAAGAUACAUGUCUCAUUUUAAGGAUUGUAUUGGUGCCAUAGAUGGAGUACAUGUUGAGGCUUCAAUACCACCUUCGGAUCAAGUUACAUACAUUAGUAGGAAAUGAAUGCCAACUCAAAAUGUUAUGGUUGCAUGUAAUUUUGACAUGCAAUUCACAUUUGCUUAUGCCGGAUGGGAAGUCACUGCACAUAAUACAAGGGUUUUUCUAUCCAUGCUACGGAAUCCAAAUUUAUACUUUUCUAAGCCUCGAAAUGGUAAUCUUCAUACUUAUUAUAACAUUUUACAUACUUGCUUUGUAUAAUUAUUACAAUACAAAACAAAAUUUUCAA